GUUGGUGAACCAGCGGAGGGAUCAUUACCGAGUUCUUACAGAACCCAACCCUUGUGUGAUAAGCUCUCACCCAGCUUUUACACGGGAGUCUCGGCCUAAUCGCCGAGGCAGUGUAAAAAAACAACCUCUGUAUCAUUAUCACAAAUUUCUGAAGACUUUUACAAAAAGAGUCAAAACUUUCAACAACGGAUCUCUUGGUUCUGGCAUCGAUGAAGAACGCAGCAUCUGACUGACUAAGAUUCGGCGCAUC
This 250-nucleotide unclassified non-coding RNA is filed under the name plant metagenome. Its description in RNAcentral is "partial contains small subunit ribosomal RNA, internal transcribed spacer 1, and 5.8S ribosomal RNA". The record is from RNAcentral.